UCUGCAUCUCGCCUCUACUAAGCUCACAAACUAAGCAUUAUCUAGACAUUCCUCACUAUACUUAAGCUAAGUUUAGUGAUUUACACACUACGAAUUUUCCUUUGGAGAUCUACCUCUACUGCUUUAUUUCCUAGCUAAUCUCUGAGAAGCAAUCCAGAAAUUCCAACUGCCUGAGUUGUUUUGUCAGGUAUAUUAGAUUGAAGAAGAUGAAUAUGGCCUACCAGAUCUGGAAAAUCCAAGACUCAGGCUGGGUUGAUGAUGAUUUUUCUACAGUUCAUCGGGAUGGAGGGAUCCAACACGGGGCAAACUCCCGGUCUGCAGCCAUGGCGUGCUUCAAAUAUUUCAAGCAAAUGUGCAGGUGUUCUCAU
Long non-coding RNA from Ipomoea nil (Japanese morning glory), 368 nucleotides. RefSeq lists it as uncharacterized. The transcript has 3 exons. The record is from RefSeq and is a predicted model, not a curated record. Lineage: Eukaryota; Viridiplantae; Streptophyta; Magnoliopsida; Solanales; Convolvulaceae.